RNAcentral lists this ribosomal RNA (320 nucleotides) under uncultured eukaryote. RNAcentral describes it as "partial 18S ribosomal RNA". It matches the Rfam family "Eukaryotic small subunit ribosomal RNA", at positions 1470 to 1796 of the family's 1831-position model. The record is from RNAcentral.
CCCCUAGAUGUUCUGGGCCGCACGCGCGCUACACUGAACAGUUCAACAAGUCUUAACCUUGGCCGAUAGGUCUGGGUAAUCUUUGAACGCUGUUCGUGAUUGGGAUAGACCUUUGCAAUUAUGGGUCUUCAACGAGGAAUUCCUAGUAAACGCAAGUCAUCAGCUUGCAUUGAAUACGUCCCUGCCCUUUGUACACACCGCCCGUCGCACCUACCGAUUGAAUGGUCCGGUGAAAUCUCGGGACGGCGGCUUGGUCGCUUGCGUCCGACUGCUGAAACUUGAUUAAACCAUAUCAUUUAGAGGAAGGUGAAGUCGUAACA